UUAGUGGCGGACGGGUGAGUAACGCGUGGGUAACCUGCCUUACACUGGGGGAUAACACUUAGAAAUAGGUGCUAAUACCGCAUAAGCGCACGAAGCCGCAUGGAUUUGUGUGAAAAACUCCGGUGGUGUAAGAUGGACCCGCGUCUGAUUAGCUUGUUGGCGGGGUAACGGCCCACCAAGGCGACGAUCAGUAGCCGGCCUGAGAGGGUGGACGGCCACAUUGGGACUGAGACACGGCCCAAACUCCUACGGAAGGCAGCAG
This 262-nucleotide ribosomal RNA is filed under the name uncultured bacterium. Its description in RNAcentral is "partial 16S ribosomal RNA". It matches the Rfam family "Bacterial small subunit ribosomal RNA", at positions 92 to 354 of the family's 1533-position model. The record is from RNAcentral.